UAGGGAAUCUUCGGCAAUGGACGAAAGUCUGACCGAGCAACGCCGCGUGAGUGAAGAAGGUUUUCGGAUCGUAAAACUCUGUUGUUAGAGAAGAACAAGGACGUUAGUAACUGAACGUCCCCUGACGGUAUCUAACCAGAAAGCCACGGCUAACUACGUGCCAGCAGCCGCGGUAAUACGUAGGUGGCAAGCGUUGUCCGGAUUUAUUGGGCGUAAAGCGAGCGCAGGCGGUUUCUUAAGUCUGAUGUGAAAGCCCCCGGCUCAACCGGGGAGGGUCAUUGGAAACUGGGAGACUUGAGUGCAGAAGAGGAGAGUGGAAUUCCAUGUGCAGCGGUGAAAUGCGUAGAUAUAUGGAGGAAAACCAGUGGCGAAGGCGGCUCUCUGGUCUGUAACUGACGCUGAGGCUCGAAAGCGUGGGGAGCAAACAGG
RNAcentral lists this ribosomal RNA (429 nucleotides) under Gemmatimonadota bacterium. RNAcentral's name for it is "Gemmatimonadetes bacterium partial 16S ribosomal RNA". It matches the Rfam family "Bacterial small subunit ribosomal RNA", at positions 355 to 776 of the family's 1533-position model. Lineage: Bacteria; Pseudomonadati; Gemmatimonadota. The record is from RNAcentral.